This 868-nucleotide non-coding RNA is filed under the name Pan troglodytes (chimpanzee). The record is from RNAcentral. Lineage: Eukaryota; Metazoa; Chordata; Mammalia; Primates; Hominidae.
CACACGUAGUACAUCACGCUCUGGCCCGCCAUGAAGUGCUGCUCCGCCGUCUCCAGGAAGCGCUCCAGGUACUUCUCCGGUUCUUAGAGGAACUGGACACCAGGAGCCUCAUACCAGGACUGCCCAGCCGAGCCACUCGAUUCCUGACCCACAUGGCCCUUGAGAUGACAAGUGAUUGAUUGCUGCUUAAAGUCACUGAGUUCUGGAAUAAUUUACAUCAUGGCAAUAGGUAACUAAUGCAGAUUCUGGUACCUGGAAAAGGAGUGCUGACAUCAAACAGCUCUAUAGAUGUGGGCGUGGCCUCAGAACUGGCCACAGGCAGGAGCCAGAAGGACUCUGUGGAAAGCGUGAGUGUCUAAGGUGCUUUGAGAGACUGUAUAUAGAAGUCUCAUGGCCUUUAGGGAAGCUGCUGGGGAGUCCUAAAGGAAAGUGAGGAAACUCUUAGUGGAGAUUGGAAGAAACAGGGUCUCUGUUAUGAAAUAAAAGAACAUUUUGUAAAAAUGUGGUUGGUAGCAGAAAUGUAAGUUGAAUGUACCUCAUGAAGUGGGUGGUCUAGCUAAGGAGAUUUUCAGGCAGAAUGUGGAAGGUGUUGCUUGGCUUCUUACUGCUGCUCACAGUAAAAUAGGAGAGAGAGAAGGUAAAAACAAACAAACAAAACUGUUCAACAUAAAGGAACCGGGAUCUGCCGGUUUUAAAAAUGCCCAGCCUCUCCAGAUGGCACAUGAUGCUAACAUUAAGAAAUGGUUUCUAGGCAAAGAUCAAAUUCAGGGCACAGUUAAGAAAACAUGGUCUACAGAUUAAACUUAGGAUGUGACUUAAAUCUUUUUGUGAAGACUUCAGAAAGAUCUAAAGUGAUGCCUCAAAGAGC